This 797-nucleotide ribosomal RNA is filed under the name uncultured haloarchaeon. RNAcentral's name for it is "bacterial SSU rRNA". It matches the Rfam family "Archaeal small subunit ribosomal RNA", at positions 85 to 879 of the family's 1478-position model. Lineage: Archaea; Methanobacteriati; Methanobacteriota; Halobacteria; Halobacteriales; Halobacteriaceae. The record is from RNAcentral.
ACUGCUCAGUAACACGUGGCCAAACUACCCUCUGGAGCACGAUAACCUCGGGAAACUGAGGCUAAUCGUGCAUACCGCUCUCAUGCUGGAAGUUGCAGAGAGCUCGAAAUGCCCCGGCGCCAGAGGAUGUGGCUGCGGCCGAUUAGGUAGACGGUGGGGUAACGGCCCACCGUGCCAGUAAUCGGUACGGGUUGUGAGAGCAAGAGCCCGGAGACGGUAUCUGAGACAAGAUACCGGGCCCUACGGGGCGCAGCAGGCGCGAAACCUUUACACUGCACGCCAGUGCGAUAAGGGGACUCCAAGUGCGAGGGCAUAACGUCCUCGCUUUUCGUGACCGUAAGGUGGUCACAGAAUAAAGGCUGGGCAAGACCGGUGCCAGCCGCCGCGGUAAUACCGGCAGCCUGAGUGAUGGCCGCUCUUAUUGGGCCUAAAGCGUCCGUAGCUGGCCGCGCAAGUCCAUCGGGAAAUCUGUCCGCUUAACGGACAGGCGUCCGGUGGAAACUGUGCGGCUUGGGACCGGAAGACCAGAGGGGUACGUCCGGGGUAGGAGUGAAAUCCUGUAAUCCUGGACGGACCACCGGUGGCGAAAGCGCCUCUGGAAGACGGAUCCGACGGUGAGGGACGAAAGCUCGGGUCACGAACCGGAUUAGAUACCCGGGUAGUCCGAGCUGUAAACGAUGUCUGCUAGGUGUGGCACAGGCUACGAGCCUGUGCUGUGCCGUAGGGAAGCCGUGAAGCAGACCGCCUGGGAAGUACGUCCGCAAGGAUGAAACUUAAAGGAAUUGGCGGGGGAGCAC